AUGGAGAAUGUUGUAGUGUUGAUUGUUGGCGUUGGGCCAGCAGGCCUUGCAACAGCAGCAUGCCUUAGCCAAUUCUCAAUUCCCUAUCUCAUUGUCGAGUGUGAAAGUUGCAGCGCGUCGCUUUGGCGCAACCGCGCCUACGAUCGCCUCAAGCUGCAUCUUGCAAAGGAGUUCUGUGAGUUGCCACACAUGUCAUACCCACUAGAUGCUCCAACAUACAUACCAAAAACCUUGUUUGUCAAGUACUUGGAUGACUAUGUUGAGCGUUUUAAUAUUCAACCCAAGUAUCUCACUAGUGUGGAGUCAUCCACAUUUGACGAUGACGAAAAAUGUUGGUCCAUCAUGAUUCAUGUAAUGACAAAGGAACUAAUCCGGUUGGGGAUGACACUUGCUCGCCGCCUUCCACUGAAUCUAGUGGAUAACCUCCUUGUGAUGGCGGCGAAUUUAAUAUUUGGAGACCUAUCGAGGUAUGGCAUUAGAAGGCCAAAAAUGGGUCCAAUGAUCCUCAAGUCAAAAACCGGCCGAUCCGCUGUUAUUGAUGUUGGCACUGUUGGGUUAAUCAAAAAAGGUAUCAUCAAAGUACAUGGGAGCAUUAGUAAGAUCAUGGGUGAUAUAGUUGAAUUUCAAUGCAGUAAAAAGAUAUCAUUUAAC
Molecule: ribosomal RNA, 651 nt
Filed under: Triticum aestivum (bread wheat)
Lineage: Eukaryota; Viridiplantae; Streptophyta; Magnoliopsida; Poales; Poaceae
Description: partial small subunit ribosomal RNA
Source: RNAcentral